GUUAACCCGGGAACCUUCCCGAUAGCUUAAAGAUAAAAGUCUCAGUUUAGAUUUCCGUUUAUAGCUAAGUAGAUCCACGCCAGCCUAGAGAAUAGCACAAAAUUCUGUCUGCACAUGCAAACAGCAAGAAACAUCGAAAACGGAUGCACUUUGAUGUCGGAUUUACCUUUUACAGUUGGUGCCAACUUAUAUUACUACAGCUGAGGCGGCAUAACAAGUAAUAAAAGCAUUGAAUAUUUGAGAUUCACGCCUAGUACCGCUGUCAGCCAACAAUGAAGAUAAUUCAAUCCACAUCAUUCUAAUGGCCUCGGUGGGAUGGCUGGCGAUACGGCCGAGGUCAUUAAAAAGUACAUCGAACGGCUGACUCAUUUGAAGUCGUUCCGGAUUGAAUCCGACGAGAGGAGUUCCAAGCCGAUGAAGACGAGGGGCUCCUACAAGAAUGGACAUGGUCACCGAGCUAGGUCAUGAGGCAAGCGCAUAGACGUUUGCAAGGAAUAGCCCAGGUUUAACUGGAUUUCAAGG
Molecule: long non-coding RNA, 522 nt
Organism: Varroa destructor (honeybee mite)
Lineage: Eukaryota; Metazoa; Arthropoda; Arachnida; Mesostigmata; Varroidae
Source: RefSeq, a predicted model, not a curated record